GGGAACAUGGCCCACACAGCCCUGUGGCCCCUGACGAGGAUGUGGGCAAUGCAAUACGGUCCUUUGUGUCCACUGUCAUAACAAAAGCUCUAGCCUGCAACAAGGGAGCCAGCAGCAAGGCAAGGCUUUCUCCCUCAGGCAGAGGUCCCGGGACCAAAGGCCCCAGAACACCACCUCUCACCACAGCAGCGGCCCAAAACUGGAAGAGUCGGCACUCGUCCAAAAGCAGCCUUGCAUCCCCUGCUGAAGAAAUGGAAGACCCAGUAAAGGCCUUUGUCUCCACUGCAACAAGAAUUGCCCUUGCCUGGAACCAGGGAGCCAUGAGGGAGGCAAGGCUUCCUCCCGUGGGCAGACCUCCCACGAGCAAAGGACACAGAACACCACCUCUGCCUGCAACUGGGCCCCAGAAUUUAAAGAAGAGCUGGCACCCUGCCCCACACAGCCCUGCAGACUCUUGCACGGCACUGCAGGACACAGCACACUCCCGCGUGUCUGAAGUGCUGGAGAAGACGCAAAAAAGCUGGGAACACGGCCAACGAUCAGCAGCACUUGGGGACCUGGCACAAACGGGGUGCAAAUUGAGAGCAACAAGUUCAGCCGGGGUCCAGACAGACAUGGAGAGGACGUGGACGACUUCUCUGCCAGGGCCUGAUUCCCGGGUAUGUGCAGGAGCACGGGCUUCCAGCAGAGACCCUGCAGCAGCUAGCCCAGGCCAGGGUAAGAAGCAAAAACAACAGAGAGAGAAACACGUCAAACCCAGGCAGGGGACAGGCAACGAGGGGAAAAGCAAAGCCGGGGCAAGACAGAGAGCAGUCCUGGGGGAUGCGAUGAAGAGGAGGGGAUCGUCAUCCUCAACUCCUGGAUUAACCCCAGGUUCGCCAGCCUCUUCACAGACCCACAGGACGUUCCCCAGGAAGAGGGCAGCGCAGCCAGCAGUGUGGACAGGGAGGCAGCAGAAGAAGCAAAACACCCAGCAAGCGCCUCUCCUGGCUCACUGCAAACCAUGGACACUGCCCCAUCAGCUGCUCCCCAGGAAGAAAUUCCUGGGGAAGAGAGGCACAGCACGCCUCUCACUUCAACAACAUGGGCACAGAGCAGGCCAGCAAGUCCUCCAGCAGCCCCUGCUCUGGAAGAUGAGGGACACAGAGCGUCUCCCCUGACAUGUGGGGCUCAACAGUCGAAGCCAUCAG
Molecule: long non-coding RNA, 1190 nt
Filed under: Anas platyrhynchos platyrhynchos (common mallard)
Lineage: Eukaryota; Metazoa; Chordata; Aves; Anseriformes; Anatidae
Description: lncRNA (ENSAPLG00000028881.1)
Source: RNAcentral